CAAGCAGUCACUUUCCUACCAACGCCACAAACAAGUUAGGAUGAAGAUUGCAGCUUUGAUGCUACUCCUGACACUCGCCUAUCUCGUGCUAGGAUCAAAUGCGGAUACAAACCGAAGGUGUACGUUUAAAUACCUGAAGAAGUUUUGUGGUUGUCAGGAAGAUUGCCACCGAAUCCUUAUGUGCCCUGAGAACAAGGAAUGCAAUUUGGAGGCUCAUAUUGUUGGCAAAUUGUGCAGGUGUACAAUGUGCAUAGACUACUCCAAGGCUCCAAUAAAGGAAACUAUGAUGUUAACUAGCUAAGCAAAUAUCAGUGCAAGUUUGCUAAAAAUAAUAACAAUGCCAUAUCAUGGGUUGUAUUAGCAUGACUAUUCGGAAUAAAUCUUUAUAGAACAUAAUUCAACAUUACACCUUGAGUUU
Molecule: long non-coding RNA, 418 nt
Organism: Triticum aestivum (bread wheat)
Lineage: Eukaryota; Viridiplantae; Streptophyta; Magnoliopsida; Poales; Poaceae
Exons: 2
Source: RefSeq, a predicted model, not a curated record